RNAcentral lists this ribosomal RNA (451 nucleotides) under uncultured bacterium. Its description in RNAcentral is "partial 16S ribosomal RNA". It matches the Rfam family "Bacterial small subunit ribosomal RNA", at positions 28 to 507 of the family's 1533-position model. The record is from RNAcentral.
AGCGAACGCUGGCGGCAUGCCUAACACAUGCAAGUCGCACGGGGGGGCCUCGGCCUCCCUGUGUCGGACGGGUGCGCAACGCGUAAGGACCUGUCGAAGGCGGGGGGGUAACCGCCGGAAACUGCGGCUAAUACCGCAUGACGCCGCGGCGUGACAGCCGGGACCACAGGCGAAAGCCGCCGGCCGAGGGGCCUGCGGCCGAUUAGCGGGUUGGCGUGGUAGCGGCCCACCAAGGCGUCGAGCGGUAGCUGGUCAGAGAGGGUGAGCAGCAACACCGGGACUGAGGCACGGCCGGGACUCCUACGGGAGGCAGCAGUGGGGAAUACUGGACAAUGGGCGCAAGCCUGAUCCAGCAAUGCCGCGUGGGUGAAGAAGGUCUUCGGAUUGAAGAGCCCUUUCGGCGGGGACGAUGGUGACGGUACCCGCAGAAGAAGCCCCGGCUAACUUCGUG